RNAcentral lists this ribosomal RNA (239 nucleotides) under uncultured bacterium. RNAcentral describes it as "partial 16S ribosomal RNA". It matches the Rfam family "Bacterial small subunit ribosomal RNA", at positions 118 to 347 of the family's 1533-position model. The record is from RNAcentral.
UGGAUAACCUGCCCUCGGCACCGGGAUAGCCCGAGGAAACUCGGAUUAAUACCGGAUAGCCCUUCCGACUCUCGAGUCGGUCCGAAAAGGUAGCUUCGGCCUCUGGCCGAGGAUGGGUCCGCGGCGGAUUAGCUUGUUGGUGGGGUAAUGGCCUACCAAGGCAUCGAUCCGUAGCUGGUCUGAGAGGACGAUCAGCCACACUGGGACUGAGACACGGCCCAGACUCCGUACGGGAGCAG